This is a non-coding RNA of Pelobates cultripes (western spadefoot toad), 328 nucleotides long. Lineage: Eukaryota; Metazoa; Chordata; Amphibia; Anura; Pelobatidae. The record is from the annotation of a GenBank genome assembly.
ACACACACAGGCAGGCAGGCAGUCACAUACAGGCAGUCACACACACAUGCAGUCACACACACAGACAGACAGUCACACACACAGACAGUCACACAGACAGACAGUCUCACACACACAGGCAGUCACACACACGGGCAGUCACACAGACAGACAGUCACACAGACAGACAGUCACACACACAGACAGUCACACACAGGCAGGCAGUCACACACAGAGACAGUCACACACACACACAGAGACAGACAGUCACACACACACACACAAGGACAGGCAGUCACACAGACAGACAGUCACACACACACACAGACAGACAGUCACACAAACAGGC